This 125-nucleotide microRNA precursor is filed under the name Hordeum vulgare. RNAcentral's name for it is "microRNA MIR1122". It matches the Rfam family "MIR1120/MIR1122 microRNA precursor family". The record is from RNAcentral. Lineage: Eukaryota; Viridiplantae; Streptophyta; Magnoliopsida; Poales; Poaceae.
CAUAUACUUUCUGCGUCUGAAAAUAUUUGUCGUAGGAAUGGAUGUACCUAGAUAUACUUUAGUUCUACAUACAUUUAUUUGUAUUUAUUUUUGUGAUAAGUAAUUUCAGACGGAAAGAGUAUUUA